UUGGGUGUCUGUCAAUGGUCUCUUGGAGUUUUACUCGUGUUCAUGUUAUUUCGUUUCUCUGCGUAACUGAAACGUGUACUUCAGCAACAAUGGGGUGUCCAUAUAAUGAGCAUAUUCGUUGGGUUCCGUUAGCGGACAUUUUGGAUGCAGUGAGGUGAAGAACAAGUCAACCGCAACCGGACGAAUUGAAGAAUACAGCCCAACUAUGAGAAUGGUAACUAUACCAUUGUAAAUGAUUGAUGGUAUCUGAUGGAGUCGAUAAAUGGACCGACGCUUUUUAACAUACAAAAAGCAAAUAUCUUUUGACCCUACAUCAACGUCUCUUGUUACCAGUUACGUGCUGUAAUAAGGAUUUCUGGUAUUGAG
Molecule: long non-coding RNA, 366 nt
Organism: Macrobrachium nipponense
Lineage: Eukaryota; Metazoa; Arthropoda; Malacostraca; Decapoda; Palaemonidae
Exons: 3
Source: RefSeq, a predicted model, not a curated record